RNAcentral lists this ribosomal RNA (432 nucleotides) under uncultured bacterium. Its description in RNAcentral is "partial 16S ribosomal RNA". It matches the Rfam family "Bacterial small subunit ribosomal RNA", at positions 29 to 507 of the family's 1533-position model. The record is from RNAcentral.
AACGAACGCUGGCGGCAUGCCUAACACAUGCAAGUCGAACGAGACCUUCGGGUCUAGUGGCGCACGGGUGCGUAACGCGUGGGAACCUGCCUUUAGGUUCGGAAUAACUCAGAGAAAUUUGAGCUAAUACCGGAUGAUGUCUUCGGACCAAAGAUUUAUCGCCUUUAGAUGGGCCCGCGUUGGAUUAGCUAGUUGGUGGGGUAAAGGCCUACCAAGGCGACGAUCCAUAGCUGGUCUGAGAGGAUGAUCAGCCACACUGGGACUGAGACACGGCCCAGACUCCUACGGGAGGCAGCAGUGGGGAAUAUGGGAAAAUGGGCGAAAGCCUGAUCCAGCAAGGCCGCGUGAGUGAUGAGGCCUUAGGGUUGUAAAGCUCUUUUACCCGAGAUGAUAAUGACAGUAUCGGGAGAAUAAGCUCCGGCUAACUCCGUG